UUGCACGCUGGUUAGGAGUGAGGUAGGCUUUGCACGCUGGUUAGGAGUGAGAUAGCCUUGCACACUGGUCAGGAGUGAGAUAGGCUUUACACGCUGGUCAGGAGUUAGGUAGGCUUUGCGUUUCUUUAAGGCAUGAGCACAGUUAGGUUUGCGCCACACAUAGCACUUUGACUUUUGGCCGAUCUUGGUCUGUCUUGGUCUCUUUGUCCAGAUCUUAGCUGGAUACCUCUUGUGCUGUCUGGUGAACUCCAGACAGGCUUUGAAUUGUUUUUUUUGAUGGGUGUCUUUCCUCCCAUCCUCCCAUACAGGCCAGUGAUAAAGACCACAGCUCUUGAUAUAGCUGACUGAUGCACCUCUACUCCACUCUCAGCCACUGAGCUCUGUAGGUCUUUCAGAGUGAUUGCUGGUAUCCUUCACAGGUCUGCUUCUUGUUCGGAUGCUGAGUUCUGAGGAACAGCCUUUUCCAGGCAGUGUCCGGGUGGUGUGACACAGCCUCCCACUCCUUGAUUAUUGAGCCGACAGUGCUCACUGGGAUAUCCAGGCACUGUGAUAUUUCUCGUACUCAUUGCCUAAUCUAUCCAAUUUUCAAUCACUUUAUCUCUGAUGUCCUUAGAAUGCUCUUUAGUCUUCAUUUUCAUGGCUUUAUAGCUUUACUUCAGAUUCACUGCCUGACCAAUGAUCCUGAAACACACUGGGGGUUUUAUCCAGUAAAUGUGACAGUCACUUCAGUAAGUGUGACAGUGACUAGGCAGGGGCCAAUGGUAACACAAUUGUAUCCUUGUCAGGGCAAUUUCAUUCACCUGUGUUAAUUCAGAGCCAUGAGAUUAGAAGGGCUGGAAUACUUAUGCAAGCAGCAUAUACACACCCGUAUACAGUAUAUAUACUGUGCACACUGUACACACAGUCUACUCUAUCUAUAUACUGUGCAUGUGCACACUGUACACAAACUCUCAUUGUAUAUAUAUACUGUGCACACAGUACACACAACUCUGUAUAUACUGUGCACAGUACACACACUCUACUCGGUAUAUAUGCUGUUCAGUCUCUACACACUCUCUACUCUGGAUAUACUGUAUACUGAAGGCAUUGUGAGUACUGCAGAGCAUAACUUGCCAGUGUGCACACAGUGUAAUCAAUCCUUUUUCUGUGUCUUCCAGUCUGUGGCACGAGUACCCCCUGUGACCCAGCGCUGUGGAGAAGAGAGCGAAGAGUGAAUGUCUUCAGUGUUACACACACCAGCACCUCUAUUCCAGAGCCCUGCGCUCCUCUUUUAUACUGGAUUGUAAUCACAGCUUUGACAUAGUGAUUGUUCAAGAAAGAUUAAAAUUUUAGAUUUUGGAAACUGCA
Lepisosteus oculatus (spotted gar) is the source of this 1347-nucleotide non-coding RNA. The record is from RefSeq and is a predicted model, not a curated record. NCBI's taxonomy places the organism in Eukaryota, Metazoa, Chordata, Actinopteri, Semionotiformes, Lepisosteidae.